RNAcentral lists this ribosomal RNA (533 nucleotides) under Pronotacantha annulata. RNAcentral's name for it is "partial 16S ribosomal RNA". It matches the Rfam family "Bacterial large subunit ribosomal RNA", at positions 1810 to 2608 of the family's 2925-position model. The record is from RNAcentral. Lineage: Eukaryota; Metazoa; Arthropoda; Insecta; Hemiptera; Berytidae.
AAAACAUGUCUUAUAGAAAAAUAAUUUUAAGUCUAUCCUGCUCAAUGAUCAAUUUGAUUAAAUAGCCGCAGUAUUUUAACUGUGCAAAGGUAGCAUAAUCAUUUGUCUUUUAAUUGGAGGCUAGUAUGAAUGGAUGGACGAGGAAUAAACUUUCUUUAUUUAAUUUUUAUGAAUUUUAUUUUUUAGUAAAAAGGCUUAAAUGAUUUUGUAAGACGAGAAGACCCUAUAGAAUUUUAUUUUGGUUAACUUUAUUAUUUUAUAUUUUAUUGAUUUUAAUUUUAAUUAUAAAUUUUGUUGGGGUGACAAUGAAGUUUACAUAACCUUCAUUAAUUAUUAUUUCAUUAAUUAUUGUAUUUAUGAUCCUUUAUUAUGGAUUAAAAGAUUAAAUUACCUUAGGGAUAACAGCGUAAUUCUUACUGAGAGUUCUUAUCGAUGUAUAGAGUUUGCGACCUCGAUGUUGGAUUAAAGAUAGAUUUAGGUGCAGGAGUUUAAAAUCUAGGUCUGUUCGACCUUUGAAUCUUUACAUGAUCUGA